UCAAACUGGGAUUAGAUACCCCACUAUGCCUAGCCCUAAAUCUAGAUACCUCCCAUCACACAUGUAUCCGCCUGAGAACUACGAGCACAAACGCUUAAAACUCUAAGGACUUGGCGGUGCCCCAAACCCACCUAGAGGAGCCUGUUCUAUAAUCGAUAAUCCACGAUUCACCCAACCACCCCUUGCCAGCACAGCCUACAUACCGCCGUCGCCAGCCCACCUCUAAUGAAAGAACAACAGUGAGCUCAAUAGCCCCUCGCUAAUAAGACAGGUCAAGGUAUAGCCUAUGGGGUGGGAGAAAUGGGCUACAUUUUCUAACAUAGAACAAACGAAAAAGGACGUGAAACCCGCCCUUAGAAGGAGGAUUUAGCAGUAAAGUGAGAUCAUACCCCCUAAGCUCACUUUAAGACGGCUCUGAGGCACGUACACACCGCCGGUCACCCUCA
Molecule: ribosomal RNA, 446 nt
Filed under: Gallus gallus (chicken)
Lineage: Eukaryota; Metazoa; Chordata; Aves; Galliformes; Phasianidae
Description: partial small subunit ribosomal RNA
Rfam family: Bacterial small subunit ribosomal RNA
Source: RNAcentral